RNAcentral lists this non-coding RNA (1772 nucleotides) under Pan troglodytes (chimpanzee). Lineage: Eukaryota; Metazoa; Chordata; Mammalia; Primates; Hominidae. The record is from RNAcentral.
UCAACAGAAUCUCCUUGGUCCUGCAGCAACCUUUAGAAGGUUUUUCAACAGAAAAGGUGUUUCUAUUCUACCCAAAUCAGACUAGGAAUCACAGUUCUGGGAAUGAUGCUACAAGUGAGCAGGGAGUGAAAUAGUUAUUGAUUACCACAACAAGAUGCAAAAAAAAAAAAAAAAAAAGGAAAACUUAGGGGAUUAAAAUGAUAAGGAAAGUCACAAGGACAAUAAGGAGUAAAGCCUGGACUUGAACUUCUGAUGACAAGCUUCCGCUUUGCCUCACAGCCUCUUAGACCAAGAUCCAAAUGAGUAAAACACACACAAAAGAGACAGGUAUCACCAUGAGCUCGUGUGGCCAAGAAGCCUUUGUAUUGACUGAACUUACCUUGGAUGUAAAUGCAUGUACAGUAAUAAGUUUCAACUUUUUUUAAGGACGUGGGCUCACAAAGGGAAAAACUGCUGGGAGUAGAAUAAAAACUGAGCAGGAUACAGACAACAGAGAUGAAGAAAAAGAAGUCCAGUUACAAGUAGAUGGGUGGGGAGGAAGAGUGAGAAAAUCCUAGAAAGCAAGCCAGACACUUUAUUCCUAAAACAUGGAAAGGUCAGCAUCAGCCAAUAGAUUGAGAAUUUGCAUUGUCUGAGUUAAGGAAAGCAUCUUGCAUUUUCUGGAGCACUGAGCAUCUCGUCUUGAACCUUCUGAGUUCUGGGAAGCUCCAAAUUCAUUUGCUGAAGCAAGAAGGAAAAACAAUUCUUGGAGGGAAUCUGAAAGAGAAUGAGACUGCACUGCCAAUGGUCUUCUGGUCAACCCUGGCCUGUGCGACUCCACAUGGGUCCUGUCCAUCACACUCUGCUCAUGAGAAAAUGCCCAAGAAAUACCCACAAGUUUUAAGCAAAGAAACUCCGCUUCACUGGAGAUGUGCUGUUAUUUGUGAGACCGCCAUGCCAACCUAAUAUUGCUGAACAAAAAUAUUGACUUCCAGACAACACUGAAUAGAAGUUUUGGUGAUGGGCAUCUGUGAUGGCUGUUAUUAUACGCUGCCUAGAUUCUUUGGAAAUGAAGGACUCAUGCCUACAGCUACUGAGAGUGCUACCUGAAGACAACCCUCAGCUUUAAGCCCUUUUCAGGGAUUGUCUUGCUUGAAAAAAGCUGUCUCACACAAGGGCUUGCCCCUUCCUGGUCAAGAUGCUCCAGCAUUAGAAUCAAGAUAUCAUCCAGUUUUUUUCCCUGAUCUUUACUAAUUUCAGAGAUGAACAUAUUUUAAUCCGGGUCAGAUCAGCUCCUUGCAGGGAGGAAUUUCUAUCAUUCUCUUUCAAAUGUACAUCCAAGGGCAGAGUUCACAUGAAGACGUGGGCAAAAAAUGCUCUUCUGGCAUGUUCUCAGGUCAAGAAUCUCAUUCUGGGAAGAGUCCUGUGGAACCUACUCUCAGAUGUGAGCUAAUUAGUGAGCUGCACAUCAAAAGAAGUGAAGUGUAUCUUGUAAAUAGGAUUUCAUUUAAAACAGAUCAAAGAAAGAUCUACUGAAUCACUCCCUCAUCCACUGAUUUCUCCAAGCAUCAGGCAGACGGUGAAGAGAACAACAAGUCACGAGAAUGAUAAACAUAGCUCCAAAGAACAACUGUGAUGCUCAAGUCAAAUAUUAAUGAGAAGAGAGAACCAAAUAUAUCCAGGGGUGGAAUUAUACUUCCUGGGACAUGCAUGGUUGGGUUUCUGAUGUAGGCCAGGAGGGCAGUAAUCUGUGUUUGUGACCCAGUCUACUUCUAAAAAUACAAGUUUAGAAA